RNAcentral lists this ribosomal RNA (255 nucleotides) under uncultured bacterium. Its description in RNAcentral is "partial 16S ribosomal RNA". It matches the Rfam family "Bacterial small subunit ribosomal RNA", at positions 28 to 285 of the family's 1533-position model. The record is from RNAcentral.
GACGAACGCUGGCGGCGUGCUUAACACAUGCAAGUCGAGCGGUAAGGCCCUUUCGGGGGUACACGAGCGGCGAACGGGUGAGUAACACGUGGGUGACCUGCCCUCAGCUCUGGGAUAAGCCUGGGAAACCGGGUCUAAUACUGGAUAUGACUCCAUGACGCAUGUUGUGGGGUGGAAAGCCUUGUGCGGCUGAGGAUGGGCCCGCGGCCUAUCAGCUUGUUGGUGGGGUGANGGCCUACCAAGGCGACGACGGUA